RNAcentral lists this long non-coding RNA (3469 nucleotides) under Homo sapiens (human). RNAcentral describes it as "non-protein coding lnc-EFEMP1-4:2". Lineage: Eukaryota; Metazoa; Chordata; Mammalia; Primates; Hominidae. The record is from RNAcentral.
UUCGUUUUUAUACAGGAAAAAAUGAAAUUGGAUCAAUACCUGUAUCAGUUAACUAUUGUUACAAAACUGUAAUAUGGGCUGCUAAGGAGGUAGACAAACAUAGUCCCUGCCUUCCGAAAGAUCACAGCCUAGCAGAAGAGAGAGAUAACAUCCAUUUCAUUCAUGUCUACUCCACCCAACAGCUCCCUAAGGGCUGGAAACAUUCCUCAGUCAAAUGUGAGUUGGAUGGAUGGAUGGAUGAUGAUAAUGAAGAUUAAUUAUGUCAAAUCAACAAAGGAGGCUGUAAAUAAAGAGAUAGGGCAGGGAAGUGGGGAAGUGGAAUGCUCCAAAAAUGAGGAGUUAAGACUUGUGGUCCUACUCUUGGUUCUGCCACUUACUAGUGUUAACUUGGAUAAGUCGUCUAAGCUUUAAAUUUCAUGAGGGAGUUGGAGAAAAUGGCUGCCAAGAUCUCCUUUUUGUUCUUUUUCUUUUUAAUCAUAAAACGAAAUUCACCAAUUUUAAAAUCAGAUUGAAAAGUUCUUUCUGAUCCCAGCAUUUUUCCAAAUGAAUUGAACAAAUUCAAGUGUUUUAUAACUCUUGGCCCUUUUAAAAAUUAACUAUAAUUGAAGCAUCUUCUUGAACAGAGUUCUUUACAAAACACACACACACACACACACACACACACACACACACACACACACUUAAAUCCAAGCAAUUUCCUUGCAAUAUCUCUCUGUGGAUAUAUAAACUUUUAACCUCUUACCUUGAAUAGAGUUUCUACAUUUGCCCUAUUUAGUCAACAAUAAAAGUCAAAUAUGCCAUUUUUUAUAAAUUAUCUGCUAGCAGCAUAUUAUAAAUUUCAAGCAGAAAAGUUUGUGGGUUAUUUUUUAAGCCUUUCCACAUUCUACAGUGAGAGAAGUUAGAAGUUAAUGCUAGUUUAUCAAAAUAAUUUAUGCUUUAAAGUUCCUUGAAGAGCAGAGAGAAAAUAAUAACAUCCAUUGCAUUUUUAGGCUUUGGUCUCAGCAGUUCCACUGGUAUAGGAUAUGACAUACUAGAGAAAAAAAGUAACAAAUCAGUCUUAUUAAUGCUAUAUAUUUUUUAAUUCUAAAUGUCGGCAAAUACAAAAUAUCUAUGAUUUUGUUUAAACCAUUGUUCUCUAAAAAUUAAUUUAAAUAUUUUCAAAGAUAUUUUAAAAUCUGUUUUGUUAUCUGUAAUCAGCAUCAAGAUAUAAGAUUAACUGUUCACAAAAAGACAGAUGAAGAGCAUUUCUGUACUUUUCAUCCACUAAGUGAAGGAAAAAAUAAUUCAAGUAAGGUAAAAUAAAGUUGGAAAGUAGAAAAAAGAAAAUUCUAAAAAUCAACAAAAUAUUAUGAAAAUGUUCCAAAUUGACAAAAGUGGAGUGAUGAUCCAGUUCUUUAAAUUACAUAUUGAAAUAAAAUUACUAAUUUUCAUGGGUAUUAUUUCUAAUUUCAUGCUCCAUAAUACAAUCAUCCUGAAACCCCAUCAGCCUUGAUUAGCCAAAUGAAGUUUCCGGAUAUCUAAGUUUGAAAGGAGAGAGUUGGGAACUUGUAGCUGAAAACAACAAUUAAAAAAAAAACAGCUUCACAUCUGUGUUCGCAUCUGAAGUUGCUCUGUAAGAUCUGAUAACUUGUUAGAAAGCAAUCUUUUUUGCAAGGCAGUAGAUUUACAUCAUACAUUUUUCUCUCUCCAAGGAAAUUCUAAUUACUGGUUCCAAUCAUUUCUGAUUGAUUUGCUUUUUAUUCUUCCAAGGUAUUCUCUGCUUUAUGAUGAAAUCAAGCCUUCAAUAAAAUUCCAAAAAUUUUAGAACAAUUUACAAGCUCCAGAUGACUGAAAGUUUUCUCAUGUCCGUUUGGCAUUCAGAAAGAGAGUUUCACCAAGUAUAUUCUGAAGAAGAAUACAUCUGGCACUCACUAAAACAAAGAACUCACCAGUGACAUACUUGAGGCAAAUUAAUGUUGCGUAAAUGCAAAUUUGCCAAUAUUCUUUGAGGCCAAAGCUGCAAUCCAACCUCCAUAUAUUUCAAUGAGUCCUCUUCUAAUGCGCAGGCCACCAGUCACAUGAGUGAAUGUUUGGGGCAUAUUUUAGCAAUCAAUUUAAUAACUACACAUUAUCUUCUAUGUACAAAUUUAAAAUUGCUUAUGUGUAAUGUGGAUUUUUUAAAGAAAAGACUUAGCAUCUGUUGAAGACUUGCCUAAGUUCAUGUCUUCUCUUGGCCUGAUGCAAACUCCAAAUCAUUGACAAAAAGACAACAUAGAAACAAAGAAUUUUAGCCCUAGAAAAAAAAUUAAAAACCAUCUCUUUCAAAGACUUGUUUCAGUAAUAUAAAGCAUAUCAGAAAUCCAAAUGUGUAUUCAUCAUGGGAAUAUUUUCAUGGAUAAUGUAAAUUCUGCUAUUCAAAAAUACUGAAUUUUUAUGCAUCAAUAAGAAAGCAGUCCAAGAAAAUAAAUAAUUUAAUCAACAUUAUUCUUGCAAGAGUCCAUUAUAGGGCUAUCAGUAGUGAAUGAUCCAUUUUUAUCAAUUCAGUAAGAAUACUAGUGUUUUUAAAUGAAUUCUUUCUGUAAGAAGGAGAGGGUUUUUUCCAUCAAUUCUGGUUCCAGCCUUGGCUUCUCCUUCAGCAGUUUCCUAGGAGAAUAUACUUUCACAAAUCAAGUGGACCCAAAUGUUGCCUGGUUUGGAUACAUGGCCAGAAACUGUGGGCUAAUUCUGUGAUUCAUAUCUUGGUCUCUAGCAUGCCAGGGAUGCCCACUGUGGGUCCCCGUUGAACACAGUUACUCUACACUUUGAUUAAGCACUCUUAAGACUCAGCCACACUGAUAGUACAUGUUUGAUUAAGACACACAUUCCAAAGGAUACAGAGACAUAGAUCAUAGUGCUCAGUGUGUGAUCAUCAACAUCUGUGAAUCUCUUCUAAAAUUAUGAGUUUGUCACCACAUACAUCUUCAAAUCUUCCUUUUUUUUUUUUGAAACAGUCUUGCUCCGUCACCCAGGCUGGAGUGCAGUGGCGUGAUCUUGGCUCACUGCAACCUCCUGAGUAGCUGGAAUUACAGGCGCGCACCACCAUGCCCAGCUAAUUUUUGUAUUUUUAGUAGAGAAGGGGUUUUGCUGUGUUGACCAGGCUGGUUUUGAACUCCUGGCCUUAAGUGAAUCACCUGCCUCAGCCUCCCAAAAUGCUGGGAUUACAAGUGUGAACCACCGUGCCCAGCCCAAAUCUUUAAAAUCUCAGAUUCCUCUGAGCUCAGAGCAAUUUUAGGAAGGUGAAUUUACUGCAAUUUCCACUUGCAUUCUGCUAAAUCCAUGCAUCCAGUUUGAAUCCAUAAAGUUGGACUCCAUUAAAUAAAUCAUCCAGCAGGGUGCAGUGGCUCCCGCCUGUAAUCCCAGCACUUUGGGAUGCCGAGGCAGGUGGAUCACAAGGUCAGGAGAUCGAGACCAUCCUGCCCAACAUGGUGAAAUCCUGUCUCCACUAAAAAUA